RNAcentral lists this small RNA (541 nucleotides) under Pongo abelii (Sumatran orangutan). RNAcentral's name for it is "retained intron". Lineage: Eukaryota; Metazoa; Chordata; Mammalia; Primates; Hominidae. The record is from RNAcentral.
AGGGACCACACAAAGCCUCAGGCGGUUGCUUCUCUUUGUCACAGACCCUGCAGGAGAUUUUCCAGACUGAAAUGACCAUAGAAUCCAUCAAGAAGGCCAUCAAGGACAAGACUGCCUUCCUGAAGGUGGCUCAGACCAGACUGGACGAGCGCACUAGACGGCCGAACAUUGAAUUGUGCCGAGACAUGGCUCAGCUACGCCUUGUUAACGAGGUACACGAGGUUGACGACACCAUACAGACCCUGCAGCAGCGCCUGAGGGAUGCAGAGGACACCCUGCAGUCACUGGUCCACACCAAAGCCACCCUCGAGUAUGACCUAGCUGUCAAAGCCAAUUCCCUGUACAUUGACCAGGAAAAAUGCAUGAGCAUGCGCAAGAGCUACCCCAACACCCUCCGGCUGGUCGGCUUCUGCUAGGGACCCCAUCGGGUGUGGUUUUGAUACCCCUAAGUUAAGGCUGAGCCAGAGCACUGUCUCAGCAUUUGAACCAAGUGCUAAUAUAGUCACUUAUUAAAGGAUUAUGCUGAUGGAAAUGUACCAGC